GUAGGGAAUAUUGGGCAAUGGUCGGAAGACUGACCCAGCCAUGCCGCGUGCAGGAAGACGGCCCUCUGGGUUGUAAACUGCUUUUAUCUGGGAAGAAAAAGGCCAUGCGUGGCAAAUUGCCGGUACCAGAUGAAUAAGCACCGGCUAACUCCGUGCCAGCAGCCGCGGUAAUACGGAGGGUGCGAGCGUUGUCCGGCUUUAUUGGGUUUAAAGGGUGCGUAGGCGGCUGAUUAAGUCAGCGGUGAAAGACUGCGGCUUAACCGGAGCAGUGCCGUUGAUACUGGUUGGCUUGAGUGUCGGAAGGGUACAUGGAAUUGAUGGUGUAGCGGUGAAAUGCAUAGAUACCAUCAGGAACACCGAUAGCGAAGGCAUUGUACUGGCCGACAACUGACGCUGAUGCACGAAAGUGUGGGGAUCGAACAGGAUUAGAUACCCCAGUAGUCC
RNAcentral lists this ribosomal RNA (444 nucleotides) under uncultured bacterium. RNAcentral's name for it is "partial 16S ribosomal RNA". It matches the Rfam family "Bacterial small subunit ribosomal RNA", at positions 354 to 796 of the family's 1533-position model. The record is from RNAcentral.